UGGGGUUUAGGGCAAUAAGUUUGACUAUUUGGGAGAAAGUGAACAUUAAAGGAGAAGGGGGAAAAUGGCACUUGUCAAAAGAAGGAAGUAGAGGGAAGGAGAAGGUGGGUGAUGCGAGAUUCAUGCAUGGAACAUGCAACAACAUAAUAUGUAUGAGAAAUCACACCAUGCACAUGAUGACAUGAUGAAAUGCAAAAAUAAAAGGAGCAAGCAAAAAUGAAACACACGGAGAGACCCGGAACCUAUGGAAGUCUUCUCGAGCAUCGGUCUCGGGGCGUUACAACACUCCACCACUACGAGAGGAUCUCGUCCCGAGAUCUAGAAUGGCACUGGAGGGAAACGGAAGAGGAAGAGGAGAGGUAAAACUAAGUUGCUUCUUUGACAAACGAGUGAAACCACGAACCUUGAGAGGUUGAGCAAUUUAAAAGAAAGAGUAGAACAGAGAUGAACGAGAUUGCAAACAAUCCGUUAGAAAAGAGGAACAAGGAACAUUAUGGGAACUUGAAGGUUGCAAAGGCAUGAAUCAAGAGUUUAAUGGACAAGAUAGAAUUCGAAACCACUCCGGUUAAAACAAGAUGAGAGAGGAAGAAUUCGGGCAGCACUCCGGUUGAACAUGGAAGGAAUUGAACAUGAACUUGACAAGAUGAGAGGAUACUUGAUGAAAUGAACAGCACACUGCCUCCGAAACUAUUGAAAGAAUGGCACAAGGGUAAGAAAGAUUUCAGGCAGCACUCCAGUUGAACAUGGAAGGAAAACUUGAUAAAAUGAGAGAACUCGAAUGAGAACACGACACUCCGGCUAAACGGAUAAGCAAGGAAAAUUACAUGAUAAUUUACAAAAUGAGAUGAUGGGUCGAAGAGAGUAACAUCACAAUGCCUCUGUAACCAACGAAUAGAAGUAGAUCAUUGGAAUAAAGGGACGCAGAAGAAAAUGACAACUUCUACCACAAUUGAAUUUGGAAGAGCCUCCUUAAAAAGAAGGAUUGAACGGAGUUGUUGGAAAACCAACAACGAAAAGAAUAAGCUUGUAGUGGACUUAUUGAAACAUCUCAACAUUAUGAGGUGACAACCGGCCACUAACGGAAACAAUUGCUUGAGAUUAACGAAGAGAUGAAAGCUUGUUCCAUCAAGAUGGAAAAGAGAUAACUUGGGUCAUUAAUAAGCACCAAAAUAGCAACAUUCCUUAGGGAAGGCUUUAGGUGAAAUCUAUAGCAAGAUAACUCCAAUGAAGAGAUUGACGGUUGAAAAGAUCUCUUGAACAAAGAGAAAAAGAUGGAUUUAAAUAUGUCACUCUUGAAAACUUGUGAAUCAUGAAACGCGAAGGGAAAUUAUCAAGAAUGACCUAACACCACCUCAGAAGAUAAGGUAGAAAGAAUUGCACUUUGGAAUGCAAGAUGAAGAAUACUUGAACUCCUCAAAACAAGACAUGUGUUGAGCACCAUGUUUAUUUUAGAGUAUAGCUUGGAGGGUCAUAACUUCGAGAGAAAUCUUAAAGAACAAUUGAAGGAUGAAAGGAAUCCUUGACGAACCACCAUGUAGAGCUUCCAUGAAAAACUCCGGUAAAAGAAGGAUGAUGAAAAGAAAGAGAAGUUGAAAACACAAGGUGAAGCCUUGCAAUGAUUUAGAUGGAGCUUCGCGAUGAUAAUGCGGAAAACUUGGAACUCCGGAAAAGAAAGAUGAACAACAGAAACCGAGAAUUUAUUCAUCAUGAACAAACUCCGAAAGAAGGAAUUAAUCACUUGGAUGAAACAAGAACAAGAAUUAUGUUAUGCGUAUCCUUCACCAAUUUAAAUUGAUGACAAGCAACGGAUUUGGCAUACUAAUUAUUCUUGUAGAAAGGAUUAAGAGAGAUAUAGCGCAAACUUGAGAAGGUCUUCAACGAACCACCGGUAGGAUUUUGAAAGAAUGAAUGAAUUGAUAUUAUAACAAAGAAAGAGAACUCUUGAACGAACCACCGUAAGAAUUGAAAAUGAACGUAGCAAAGGCACAAUUCACCGGAAAGAAUUGGAAAACGAAUGAAGAUACUUGAGGGAAUUUAGAUACAUGAGAACGAAGAGAUCAUGAACUGAUUAGAGGAUAUUUGAACGAUGCACCGGAAGAAUAUGGAGAAUGAUAGCUACACGCUGAGAAUGAGGAAUUAUGACAUGAUGGCCUUCGGAGGAAAGAAAUAGAAACAACUCAUGAGAUGCUCCAGAUGGUAAGAAAAGAAUUGUCACAAUCAAAACAAUUAUGAGGAUAGCAUGAAGCUAGAACCAUGAAUCUUCAAGAGAACGGACAAGAUUUAAGAGAAAUCCUUCUUCGGUCUUCAUAUGUUGAGAAAGAAGAUGAGACCCACCAUAACAAUUGUUGAUGCACUCUGGAAUGAAAAUUGGAAAGGUUGAACCAACGAUGAAAAGAAUUUGAAAGAUCUUGGAGAAAGACAUAUGACUGAUGAUAACCCAUUCUUACGUCAAACUUGGAAAUGAAUUUGAGAAUGGCUCCAGAAAAUUAGAAGAGUCAGGUAAGAUCCUGGGAAAAGACCUGUGGGUUAGGGCCCACUCAAAAGGAAACACCGUUGAACGAUUGAUUUAAAAGAGAGAUUGCACCGGUUGAAUUAAAUGGCUUGAAUGAGAUAACAAUCUCCAAAUAGCUUGAACGGAUUAAGAAUCGAAACACAAAUCUUCUGAGAUAUCUUCAACACUCUAGAACAAUUGAAUAGCAAGAGGUGAGUGAUUGAGAGGUGCACCGGCAUGAGAAAGCAUUUGACACGAGGAAAGGAAUAUGAUGAAUAUCGAAAGCUUGAAUGGGACCCACCGGAGAAGAAUACGAGAAUGAAGAAAGAUGAACUUGAAGCUCAUGAGCAUCUUCACGAAGGAUCGCUGGAUCAAAACAUUGAUUGAAAAGAAUGAAGAGACUUCACAUAAAUAAAUGGAUACUUGAUUAAAAUAAAAGAGUCCUUGAAGAAAAGGGGUGGGAGGGUGGGGAAAAACAAAGACAACUUGGGAUGAACGAAACAAACACCAUUGAGAAAACUUAGAAUUUAUCUUGCGGAUGGGGAGAAUGAUGGGAUCCACUUGAAGAGAAGCACACCGGUUGGAAAGGAGUUGACAUGACAAAGUCAAUGAUCAAAAGGAUUAGUAUUCACAUAGCAAUAGGAGAACACCGUUUAGGAAAGUUAUGGAUUCAACAUUUGACAUCGAAGCAACUCGAAUACCACAAAUAACACAAAACAAAGGAUUUGGCUUGCAGAAUAAGCCGGAACAAAUACAUAUGAUAGAGAUUUACCCAAUCUCAUAUCAUGCAUCUGUCGAAAAGAUAUUCUAGGAGCUACUUGAAUUCCCACCUAUAAACUCCCGAAACUUUCUGGUUAUGCAAUCUGGUGUUGGGGAUACAGGGGAAGCAAUAUAUCUCACCCAAACUAGCAAUCCCUACAUCCAGCUGUAUCCAUCCGUCAACACAUAACCAAGAAACCUUCGGAAAUCGUGUACCUCAACCUUCAAAAAGCAUCCGUUAUACGAGUCAUGGCAAUACUCCCGUACUCACCUCAGUACUGGGUUAUCGGGGUUAUCUCACCAACAACUACAUAAAAGAGAUUUUCGAUGUCGGCGUACUAAACUCAGGUAUUCCAGAACUGCAACGAUAAAAUUAUGACGACAACACCUCAGAGCUCAACUUCCCGGGACACCUCCACUAAACCCCUGCUGACGGGAGGCACCAAGACAAUGUUGUCAUCAUAAAACCAUCGGAAUGAUUCCAAGAUACCCGCGUGAUCCUAAAGAAAAUUUUAGUGAAAUUUGAGAAGAGAAGAGUCAAAACUCUAUGUCAGGAUGCCUUACCAGAGCGACGAAGAGACUGGGGAGUAAAAAGAAUUCCUAACUCUCUGAUAUAUAUAAUCCUAAAUGACUCAAAACAUUUUUCUAGACACAACUCGGCCACUAAAAACGAUCAAGCAGUGGGGCUCCUAAGGUCGGGGAAGGCUCUGAUUACCAACUUGUAACGCCCUCGAUGCGGCUAUAUCUCCCACGUGUCGAAGCACGACUUAGAGGCAUAACCGCAUUGAAAGAAAUGUCGCAAGUGAGGUAAUCUUCACACAACCCAUGUAAUCAUAAGGGAAAGAGAUACAUAGUUGGCUUACAAUCGCCACUUCACACAAUUGUAUGAAUAAAGCAUUACAUCAUCCAGAUACAAUCAAGGUCCGACUACGGAACCAAAAUAAAAGAAGAACCCCAAAUGCGACAAAGGUCCCCGAUCGACCCCAACUGGGCUCCACUACUGAUCAACUAGAACGAAACAACACAAAGGGCAAGAUCUUCAUCGAGCUCCUCCUUGAGCUUGGUUGCGUCACCUGCUCGGUAACAUAGGCACCUGCAAACUGGUUUUGGAAGUAUUUGGUGAGCCACGAGGACUCAGCAAUCCCAUUACCAUGGGUAUCAAGACUAGCAAAGCUUAAUGGGAAAGGAAGGGGUAAAGUGGUGAGGUUGCAGCAGCGACUAAGCAUGAUAUGGUGGCUAACAUACGCAAAUGAGAGCGAGAAGAGAAACAAGUGGAACGGUCGUGAAGCUAGCAAUGAUCAAGAGGUGAUCCUGAACACCUACUUACGUCAAUCAUAACACAGAAACCGUGUUCACUUCCCGGACUCCGCCGAGAAGAGACCAUCACGGCUACACACACGGUUGAUGCAUUUUAAUUCGGAUCUGGUGUCAAGUUAUCUACAACCGGACAUUAACAAAUUCCCAUCUGCCACAUAACCGCGGGCACGGCUCUCGAAAGUUUAUACCCUGCAGGGGUGUCCCAACUUAGCUCAUGACAAGCUCUCGCGAUAAACGAAGGAAUAGACCUUCUCCCAGGAAGACCCGAUCAGUCUCGGAAUCCCGGUACAUCAAGACAUUUCGACAAUGGUAAAACAAGACCAGCAAAGCCGCCCGAUGCGCCGACAAUCCCGAUAGGAGCUGCACAUAUCUCGUUCUCAGGGCAACACCGGAUAAGCGAAGCGUACAGGUACCGACGUAACCCAAGUUGCCAAGGGAUGGUCCCGCACGGUGCUCUAGUUUGGACCAACGCUUAGACAAGCACUGGCCCGGGGGGGGGGCUAUAAUAAAGAUGACCCUUGGGUUAAUUACUCCCAAGGGAAAAGUAGGUGGUGGUGAGGCAAAUGGUAAAAGUCAAUGUUGGGCCUUGCUGGACAAGUUUUAUUCAAAGCGAACUGUCAAGGGGGUCCCAUAAAUCACCCGACCGCGUAAGGAACGCAAAAUCCGGGAACAUAACACCGGUAUGACGGAAACUAGGGCGGCAAGAGUGGAACAAAACACCAGGCAUAAGGCCGAGCCUUCCACCCUUUACCAAGUAUAUAGAUGCAUUAAUAAUAAAAGAGAUAUUGUGAUAUCCCAACAAAACCCUGUCCACCAUGGAGCAAUCUUCAACUUCACCUGCAGCUAGCAACGCUAUAAGAGGGGCUGAGCAAAAGCGGUAACAUAGCCAAACAACGGUUUGCAUAGGAAAGGUGUCAAAGGUUAGAGGUUCAUGGCAAUAUGGGAUGGCUUGAUAAACAGGUGAUAGGCAGCGCAGCAUAGCGAUAGAGCGAAGCAACUAGCAUAGCAAUGAUAGUAGUGAGAUCCAGGGUAGCGGUCAUCUUACCUGAAAUCCCGCUAGGAAGAAGAACGAGUCCAUGAAGAAGAUGAACGGGCGUAGUCGAACGAAUCCUCACAACUCCGGAACGAAACCGAAGCUAACGAGAGAAGCAACCCGGAAAGAAACAAACAACAUAGUAAACAACCACCACAUACACAUGGCAUGCACAAACAAGUAUGAUGCAUGUCCGGUUUAAUGAAGCAUGGCAUGGCAAUAUGCACAAACAACACUACAAAUUAAGUGGAGCUCAAUAUGCAACGAGUAGCAUAUUGACGGAACACCACAUCCAUUAUUUAGUUUUCUCUCGGUUAUGCUACCAAACAAUAUUAAGUGUUGUUAAACAUGGCAAGAGGUGAAGCAUAACUAAACUAACUAUACCAUCUAAACAAUUUAAAUGGGGCCGGAUAUAAAAAACAACAAAUUCGGUAAAUCCCCAUAUGCAUUUAGCAAUUUAAUGCAACAACAAGUUUAAACAUUUUAAUUGUUAUUAUCAUGAUGCGGAUGACAUGCACAAGUUUUAUGCAAGUUUUUAAGAAAAUGUUGAUAAGAGCAUAUUAUGAAGCAUUUGCCACCGUGGUGGAAAGAAAAGGGGUGCCACGGCAACGAAUCCGAAAAUGAUGCCACGGCAACAUAUCGGUUUCGGUAGCUCACGGAGAUACCGAUGCAAAAGAGCAAAUGUGCGGAAGCAAAGGAUGGUGGGGUGAUCCCGGUUACCGGGUUCCCACGGGACGACGGCAUGACCAACAAGGCGGAACAUGCAUGAAGCAAACGGGCACGGUGCAAACAAGGAUAACUCAUUCAACACAUGCAUUCGGUCCACGGCGGUCGUUUCGGCGUUAUACCUUCGAAGCGUGCAAUCGGGGUGGAAGGCGUUUCGUAGAGGAAGUAGUCGUUCACGGGUCGACGGUAGUGGUACAGCUCGUAGACGUUCACGGGUCGUCGUGGAGGUACACGUUCGCGGGUCGUCAUGGGAAGUAGUCGUACACGGCGUAGUGGAAGUCGUUGUUCACGUGGCGAUGGUAGUUGUUCAGGGUCUUGCGGGUCGUCGUGUAGCCGUACAUGUUCGCCGUGGUACACGGUGUAGUCGUACAUAUCCCGUAGAUGUUCAGGGUCGCCGUGAGGAACUUGUCGAAACCAGGGUGCAUCUUGGCGGUCUCGUCUCGGCCUUCAACCCAAAACAAAGCAAGGCAAAAGACUCGGUGCGGUUCCGGUGGUCGAACAAGGCAGGGGCAGCUCGGUCACGCGCGCUGCGGGCGGCAGAGGAUGAAGCAGAGGAGUAGCACCGCGAGGGAGGGCAGUGACGCAGGCGAGGAGCAGCCCCCGCGGCGGAGCUCCAUGGGAGGCAACAGGCGAAGCAGCAAGGAGGAGGAACUCGGGGACGGCUUGGGCAGGGGGCGAUGCCGGUGAAGUCAACACGGGGCGGAGCGACGCGAGGUAGGAGAAGCGGGGCUUGACGGGUUCAGGCGAGGUCCAGCGACCGGGCGACGGGGCGCCUCAUCCUGGAUAAAGCAGAGGACGCCGGGCGCUGGAAGCAAGUAAACGCCAUGGGGCGUCUGGCGGCGGCGACGCUUGGCGUCAGGCAGACGAGGAGGCGGGGACGAGGCAGCAAGGCGGAAGGGUCGCGCGCAGGGUGGUGGAGGCGAGAUCCGGGCGCGGGGUCGAGGCAGAGGCGACCGGCGGGGCAGGAGCAGAGCAGGAGAGACGGCGCGGGAGGAAGGUUGGGCGCGCGGCGCGGCCGGUGCUCGAGGAGGCCGACGGCCAUGGCGUCAGGCGGAGCAAGGGAGGAGAGGGAGGCGAGCAUGGGGGGGAUCGAGGGAGAGAGGGGGUUCGAGCGAGGGAGAUGGGAUCGGGCUGAGCAAGGGGCGGUGACGGCGCUGAGGGGAAACGGGAGGGAGAGAUUGGAUCGGGGGAUCCGGCUAGGGUUAGGUUAGAGGCGGCUGGGCCUUAGAGGCCGGCCCGGGUAGGGAAGAAAAUGGCCAGAGGCCUGGCUGGGCUGCGUUGGAAAACUGCUGUCUCUUAUCUAUUUCUUCAAACAGAAAUAAAAGGACAAAAGUACGGAGUGAUUGGAGGGGGUGGUGAGAGAUAUGAAAAUAUCCUCAGGACCCUGGAAUUAUGCCCUAUUUAAGAAAAUGAUUUGGGGGAUUUUAGAGGUUGAAAAAUAAUUCAAGUUUGAAUUAAAUUCAAACUUGAGCCAUUUUAAAACCUAACCAAAACAUUUCCAAAAGAGGUGAAAUUUGGCGGUGGGGUUUAGGGCAAUAAGUUUGACUAUUUGGGAGAAAGUGAAAUUAAAGGAGAAGGGGGAAAAUGGCACUUGUAAAAAGAAGGAAGUAGAGGGAAGGAGAAGGUGGGUGAUGCGAGAUUCAUGCAUGGAACAUGCAACAACAUAAUAUGUAUGAGAAAUCACACCAUGCACAUGAUGACAUGAUGAAAUGCAAAAAUAAAAGGAGCAAGCAAAAAUGAAACACAUGGAGAGACCCGGAACCUAUGGAAGUCUUCUC
This 8104-nucleotide long non-coding RNA is filed under the name Triticum aestivum (bread wheat). RNAcentral's name for it is "long non-coding RNA (TAES_LNC022733)". The record is from RNAcentral. Lineage: Eukaryota; Viridiplantae; Streptophyta; Magnoliopsida; Poales; Poaceae.